AGCCGAUGUUGAGAAAGUGUUCCUGAAACCUCUUUGGUGCAAAACGGUGGUUUUAUUAAAGCACGGGGACAGGAUCCGUGCACAGAAAGCGUGGCAUCAGUGUUGUGGGGGGAACUGAUACACCCUUGAAAGGUGGGGGAGGUAAGGACAGGGAAGGGUUUCAAAAGAACUUUCCUAUGCUAAGGAAGACCUACAAGAUACUGGAGACCUUGCCAUUGUCAAGUGAGGAGGUUUUACCUUCUAGCAGGGAAUGAACAUGAAGAUGUUUGGAACAGGCAUUCUUUUGUUUCAAGGAGACUUGAGUUUUUUAAAAAACCUUUUGGCCUGAUCCAAAACACCUCCACUAAAUAUUUUCUACCCUGUGCUAUUUGCCCUCCUUACUACUGGCAGAUAACCUUAUCCUUGGAAGGGGUACCUAAGUCUCAGUGUACCUGGACCAGAAAUGAAAAUGUCAGAUGUAUUCCUGACCAACCCAAGUAUAUGCCACGAAGGAAAAAACAAACCUCGGGACCAAUUUGAAAGGAUGUGGGGCUGAGAGGAGGCAUUUCUCCAGUGGCAUCUGUUCCUACUGCACACGAUCUGCCCCUGCAUUCUGUUCCAGCUCCAUCCGUCACACAAUGGCCACUGAGGUGCAGGCACCACUGACUGAUGGAUCACAAAGACCCCCCUGAGCAAGCGCAAGGCUCUGUACAGAGAAACACAGAAGCAACCAGGACUUGCGGGACCUACAGUCUAUUCGGUCCUCGUUCUGCCACUAACCGGAACCGUCUCAUUUCCUGUGAGAGAAGUUAAAACUGUUCUUGAUCGUUAACCGAGCAGCUGAAGGAUGAAAUCAGGGAGAAGCUAUGAAAGGCCUUUGUACAUAUCACUAUCACCAGCCUUGCACGUCUCUAAACUGUACUGAAGAUACUGUCACGCUGACAAUAAAAUCUUCGUGAUUGUGAAUACAGCAGACAACAGGGUCUAGCGCUCACAGUCCCACUGUCAGGGUAUUCCACUCAUACAGAGGGCACGUCGACAAGGGUUUUUAUCAGGACCCCUGUUGGUAACAGCAGAGGAUGAGAAGCCAGGCACCCAUCCUUCACCGGGGCCCCGGUGACAUCAAGUAUGUGGCUGAUGGCAGCAGCAGGCGCAAGUAGCUGGGGACAGGUGUAGGAGACAGGUGGUCACUGCAUCUCCUACUAAUAUAUUUUUAACAUUUUGAACCACGCAGGCACCUUCACAAAUGAAACAAUUUGGGAAAGAAGAGGGCGAAUGUUCAUUUACCUUUAAUCUCCAGAAGGUGGUCUCCAUCCCAGUCCCAAGAUUUAGAAUUUGACAAUGACAUUCUGUCUUCUGCAGAAAUGCCCUUAUCAGCUGACUGACGCCAUAGACUCGAGCAAAAUAUCCUGAGACAGAGACACAGAGACAAGUUAUCGCUUAGUGAGAUCAGAAAGCAUCGCUGCAGAGCCCGCCCUAGGAGAGGAGGAAAUGAGGAUUCGGCUGCUCUUCUUUGGGGUGCAAACUACUGAGGACUCAGCUAAACGUCAACAUGCGAGAUCAAGACGAUAUAAUAUUUUUCGGUCAGAAUAUGGGGCAGAUAAAUGUCCAAGAAAAAUGAAAUAAAAUAAAAUAAAAUAAAAUAAAGCCGUAUUUCUUACCAUGUUCCCUUCAUCUCCAACCUGUGUGGGUAAAAGUCUCUAUGCUUAUAAACUGACCUCACAGACCGACUGCAGGAGAGGAAGGCACGAGCAAACAUUGCCCCCAAAAUGGACUUAUUCAGCUCCAGUGUGAGGAGCUUUGGUAAAGGAGAUGGUGAAUAAAAGGGGGAAAGGAAGAUAAAAUCUGUGUUCUAUAGCCCUGUUGCUUAAAGUGUAACUAUCUUAAGAACAAAACGUGAGCAGCAUUUAGAAGUGUACUGCAAUGUGAUAUAGGAGUUCGGUGUCUAUUGAUUCUCCUAAUAAAUCAUUUGAGCUUGUA
Long non-coding RNA from Neogale vison (American mink), 1959 nucleotides. RefSeq lists it as uncharacterized. The record is from RefSeq and is a predicted model, not a curated record. NCBI's taxonomy places the organism in Eukaryota, Metazoa, Chordata, Mammalia, Carnivora, Mustelidae. The transcript is spliced from 2 exons.